RNAcentral lists this ribosomal RNA (254 nucleotides) under uncultured bacterium. Its description in RNAcentral is "partial 16S ribosomal RNA". It matches the Rfam family "Bacterial small subunit ribosomal RNA", at positions 524 to 776 of the family's 1533-position model. The record is from RNAcentral.
UACGUAGGUCCCAAGCGUUAUCCGGAAUUACUGGGCGUAAAGAGUUGCGUAGGUGGCAUGGUAAGCGAAUAGUGAAAGCGUGCGGCUCAACCGCAUACACAUUAUUCGAACUGCCAAGCUAGAAGACGAGAGAGGUAGCUGGAAUUCCCAGUGUAGGAGUGAAAUCCGUAGAUAUUGGGAGGAACACCGAUGGCGUAGGCAGGCUACUGGCUCGUUCUUGACACUAAGGCACGAAAGCGUGGGGAGCAAACGGG